This 69-nucleotide transfer RNA is filed under the name Todus mexicanus (puerto rican tody). RNAcentral's name for it is "tRNA-Phe". It matches the Rfam family "tRNA". From Rfam's summary of the family: Transfer RNA (tRNA) molecules are approximately 80 nucleotides in length. Their secondary structure includes four short double-helical elements and three loops (D, anti-codon, and T loops). Lineage: Eukaryota; Metazoa; Chordata; Aves; Coraciiformes; Todidae. The record is from RNAcentral.
GUCCCUGUAGCUUACAACUAAAGCAUGGCACUGAAGAUGCCAAGACGGCUGUCGCUGCACCCAGGGACA